Molecule: ribosomal RNA, 1698 nt
Filed under: Salmonella enterica
Lineage: Bacteria; Pseudomonadati; Pseudomonadota; Gammaproteobacteria; Enterobacterales; Enterobacteriaceae
Also listed under: 1 other name
Description: partial 23S ribosomal RNA
Rfam family: Bacterial large subunit ribosomal RNA
Source: RNAcentral
GGGUUGUGAGGUUAAGCGACUAAGCGUACACGGUGGAUGCCCUGGCAGUCAGAGGCGAUGAAGGGCGUGCUAAUCUGCGAUAAGCGCCGGUAAGGUGAUAUGAACCGUUAUAACCGGCGAUACCCGAAUGGGGAAACCCAGUGUGACUCGUCACACUAUCAUUAACUGAAUCCAUAGGUUAAUGAGGCGAACCGGGGGAACUGAAACAUCUAAGUACCCCGAGGAAAAGAAAUCAACCGAGAUUCCCCCAGUAGCGGCGAGCGAACGGGGAGGAGCCCAGAGCCUGAAUCAGCAUGUGUGUUAGUGGAAGCGUCUGGAAAGGCGCGCGAUACAGGGUGACAGCCCCGUACACAAAAGCGCAUGUGCUGUGAGCUCGAUGAGUAGGGCGGGACACGUGGUAUCCUGUCUGAAUAUGGGGGGACCAUCCUCCAAGGCUAAAUACUCCUGACUGACCGAUAGUGAACCAGUACCGUGAGGGAAAGGCGAAAAGAACCCCGGCGAGGGGAGUGAAAAAGAACCUGAAACCGUGUACGUACAAGCAGUGGGAGCCCCACCACCAAAGCAUUCUCUGGUGUUGAAGGCCCUGCAAAGCAGCAUCGCGGUGGCGGAGCGUCGUUUGCGACGCCCAACACACAAAACAAGCGGUGAAUGCUUUGGGGUGGGGUGACUGCGUACCUUUUGUAUAAUGGGUCAGCGACUUAUAUUCUGUAGCAAGGUUAACCGAAUAGGGGAGCCGGAGGGAAACCGAGUCUUAAUUGGGCGUUAAGUUGCAGGGUAUAGACCCGAAACCCGGUGAUCUAGCCAUGGGCAGGUUGAAGGUUGGGUAACACUAACUGGAGGACCGAACCGACUAAUGUUGAAAAAUUAGCGGAUGACCUGUGGCUGGGGGUGAAAGGCCAAUCAAACCGGGAGAUAGCUGGUUCUCCCCGAAAGCUAUUUAGGUAGCGCCUCGUGAAUUCAUCUCCGGGGGUAGAGCACUGUUUCGGCUAGGGGGCCAUCCCGGCUUACCAACCCGAUGCAAACUGCGAAUACCGGAGAAUGUUAUCACGGGAGACACACGGCGGGUGCUAACGUCCGUCGUGAAGAGGGAAACAACCCAGACCGCCAGCUAAGGUCCCAAAGUCAUGGUUAAGUGGGAAACGAUGUGGGAAGGCCCAGACAGCCAGGAUGUUGGCUUAGAAGCAGCCAUCAUUUAAAGAAAGCGUAAUAGCUCACUGGUCGAGUCGGCCUGCGCGGAAGAUGUAACGGGGCUAAACCAUGCACCGAAGCUGCGGCAGCGAACGUAUCACCCAAGACAACUUUACGGAGUUGACGAUUGACGGAGCGAAGCGACGUCAAAGCGUUCAUUAAAGUCGAGUUGGCUUAGGGAUACGUUCGUUGGGUAGGGGAGCGUUCUGUAAGCCUGUGAAGGUGUGUCGUGAGGCAUGCUGGAGGUAUCAGAAGUGCGAAUGCUGACAUAAGUAACGAUAAAGCGGGUGAAAAGCCCGCUCGCCGGAAGACCAAGGGUUCCUGUCCAACGUUAAUCGGGGCAGGGUGAGUCGACCCCUAAGGCGAGGCCGAAAGGCGUAGUCGAUGGGAAACGGGUUAAUAUUCCCGUACUUGGUGUUACUGCGAAGGGGGGACGGAGAAGGCUAUGUUGGCCGGGCGACGGUUGUCCCGGUUUAAGCGUGUAGGUGUGUGUUCCAGGUAAAUCCGGUU